CAUCAUUACUACUUACACAUCUUUGUUUUGGCAGCAGAUUGUUAGUGAGAUCUGUUGGGCUGGUUCCAGCUCACUCUUGGGUACACCUGGAAGAAGCCAUUGACAUGCUUGAAAUGACAGCCCUUGAAUGUGGCAACAAUAUGGACCUUUUCAUCACAAGGAUCACAGUAGCAACAGGUAUGCAUGGAGAUUUACACAAAAAAAAAAAGAAGACAGCUGAAGAAGAUGAUUGACAGGCCAUUUGCACUGAUGUGUAAAGCCAUGUCAUGGUUAGUGAAUAAUCAUGCCUGUUGCCUUCCAGGCUUUUAUGGUUAGAUCAGAUGUGCCUGAACAUAUGUUGAGCAAAUGCACAGGAGUAAUCACCAGUGAAAAGUUGAAAUCUCAUUUUGAGCACCCACUUAAAAUGAUUUAUUAUGCUAAUGUAACAUUUAAGAAAACAUAAGAAAACUGUCCUUCAGUUACCCUUUAAUGAAAUGUUUUGUGAUUUUAGUAAGAAAAAAAAAUAAUA
Long non-coding RNA from Cyprinus carpio carpio, 508 nucleotides. NCBI's taxonomy places the organism in Eukaryota, Metazoa, Chordata, Actinopteri, Cypriniformes, Cyprinidae. The record is from Ensembl.